GGCGAGCUAAGUGCCGGAUGUGAUUUCUGGAAGGCAUCUUCUGGAACUUAAAGUCGGGGACCGUAAGGCCUGACGCUUCUUGAUAAGCCCGCGGCCUAUCAGCUAGUUGGUGAGGUAACGGCUCACCAAGGCUAAGACGGGUAGCUGGUCUGAGAGGACGACCAGCCACACUGGAACUGAGACACGGUCCAGACACCUACGGGUGGCAGCAGUCGAGAAUUUUUCUCAAUGGGGGAAACCCUGAAGGAGCGACGCCGCGUGGGGGAUGAAUGGCUUCGGCCCGUAAACCCCUGUCAUUUGCGAUCAAACCUCAUAGCCUAACACGCUGUGAGCUGAUAGUAGCGGAAGAGGAAGGGACGGCUAACUCUGUGCCAGCAGCCGCGGUAAUACAGAGGUCCCAAGCGUUGUUCGGAUUCACUGGGCGUAAAGGGUGCGUAGGCGGUCGGGUAAGUCUGAUGUGAAAAGCUCGGAGCUCAACUCCGAAAUGGCAUCGGAUACUAUUCGGCUAGAGGAAUGGAGGGGA
This 523-nucleotide ribosomal RNA is filed under the name uncultured bacterium. RNAcentral's name for it is "bacterial SSU rRNA". It matches the Rfam family "Bacterial small subunit ribosomal RNA", at positions 157 to 658 of the family's 1533-position model. The record is from RNAcentral.